GAAUCGGUUGAUGCUGCACAUUUAUGGGCUCAGAAGUGGGGUGAUCUUCCACCGACCCUGCGAAAUGGCGCAAGUAUUGGUCUGACCAAAAAAGGCAUGCCAGAGAGAGGGAGGUGCUGCGAAGGUCAACGCUGGAGAAAAGUGGACGCAAUGGGCUUGGGCAUUUAAAGGAAGCGUUCGAUUUCGAAAAAAGGGCGCUUCAACUCAUGGUCCCAGCAGUCGUCACAGAAAACAACAAGAAAUGCUAAAUCUGACGAGAAGGCGACUUAAUGGGUAUAGUAUAGGCCCAGCUAAGUUUAAAAUACACAAUGAACCAUAAUUGUGCAUACGGCCAUAAAAAGGGGGUUUAACUUUACAGAAUGCCUCGCUUCACGGCCACCCGCACUAAGACCGAGAAACGGGUCGAUCAUUUUAAGAUUCCCUGUCGGUUGUGCGGUAACAACCACGGAGUACGACUCUGCCCCAUAUACCGAGGGAAAUCCGCCGAGGAAAGGUUGCGGGCGAUUUUGAUACAUCGGUACUGUCCCAACUGUUUGUCGCCAUUCCAUCGGAUAGAAAUAUGUGGAAGCAAUGACCGAUGCCACCGCUGCGACGAAAAGCACCAUACCCCCCUGCAUAUUGAAGACUAGGGCGAUCCAAGGGAAACGACGGCUCUGACGGAGCGAUUUCGCUCCACGUGUCCGACCAAACGACGUCAUGGGCGAAGCAGGUAGAGGAAGAAGA
Long non-coding RNA from Rhagoletis pomonella (apple maggot), 723 nucleotides. RefSeq lists it as uncharacterized. The record is from RefSeq and is a predicted model, not a curated record. Lineage: Eukaryota; Metazoa; Arthropoda; Insecta; Diptera; Tephritidae. The transcript has 3 exons.